GAUGUUGAUCGCUGCUGAACCAUUCGGCAACACUCUAAAGAUAUAUUAUCUCGAUUCUCUUGGAGGGGAACUAGGGAGGAGACAAAUUUUAUUGGAGUUGAUUAAUACGGCGAUUGUGUUAUACUACACUAACAUAAAACAAUCAAUUCCAAGGUCCUUUAUAAAUUUUGAUGCCGCCUACACUUGGAAUAUAAUUAAGGAACAUGGAGGAUUAGAGCAUUAAUCAGGACUAGCUUGACCUUUCUACUCCGAUUGUGUCUACCAGUGGUGAUGACAGUGUGCCUAUUAGUUCCCAAACUAAGGGUAGUAGCUACUCUACACAAUUUAGGAGACCUAGAAGUGGCACAAGAUUAACAGAGUUGGCUCUGAGUUCGAGUAGAGGUGAGAAGAUUCUGAUCCAGUUUGAUGACAAUUAGAAGCCAAUCAGGCCUAAUAAGGACAAAUUUAUCAGUUUUUUAGGCCUUCAAGCUCAAAGCAAGCCAAGUAUAUUGGCAACCACAUCGAAUGAUGUCCUAGAAUGAGUGAAGGAACAUAUAUGGGAAGCUAUCAAUGUCAUAUACAAUGUCCCCACUAGUAUGGACUUUAAGCAUAGGUUGAUGACCUGGGCUUGUGAUUAUUGGAGGAAUUUUAAGACAUCACUAGCUAAGAGAUUUGUGCAUAUUGAGUUGCUAGAAGGACAACUGUGGCCUAAUCCUUAUACCCAAUACAUGUUUCUUGAUGCAGCUACUUUUGAAGAAUUCGUUAGGCUUCGGAUUAUGCCAAAUGCUCUAGUGAAUUAGUUUAUUUUAAUAUAUUAUUUUUUAUAUAUUUUAAUUAUAUAUCAUUAUCUUUAUUAGAUAAUGAAUAUUUUGUAAUUCUAAUUUACAGGAAAGGAGAAGAAAGGCAUAAGAAGUUGGAAGGAAGAAUAAUUGCUCCCAAAUAAAGUCUUUUGGCAGUUUUGUAUUGGCUGAUAAGGAAUUGAUGGACACCAAGAGGAGGAAGAGAGAAGAACAAGCUCAAUCAGGUGCAUGGCGUCCCAUGCUACGGUGCAUGACACAAAGAAGGUCUAGGCGUAUGGCUCUAUGCCACAUGCUGUAGCGCUUGUGUUGCCCGUCGUGGCACAUGGCCCUUAAACUAACCUUAUUUCUCUAUUUUGAUGGCAUGCAAUAGUAUAUAUGAAUGCAUAUGAUUUACAUUUCAUUGUGUAUGGCUUUGAUGUGUUAUGAUUUUGAUGAUAUUGCAAAACAAGUCUUAGA
Prosopis cineraria is the source of this 1235-nucleotide long non-coding RNA. RefSeq lists it as uncharacterized. Lineage: Eukaryota; Viridiplantae; Streptophyta; Magnoliopsida; Fabales; Fabaceae. The record is from RefSeq and is a predicted model, not a curated record. The transcript is spliced from 4 exons.